This 1460-nucleotide ribosomal RNA is filed under the name uncultured bacterium. RNAcentral's name for it is "bacterial SSU rRNA". It matches the Rfam family "Bacterial small subunit ribosomal RNA". The record is from RNAcentral.
GAGUUUGAUCCUGGCUCAGAUUGAACGCUGGCGGCAUGGCUAAAGCAUGCAAGUCGAACGAGAACCGGCUUCGGCCGGGGACAGUGGCGUAAGGGCGAGUAAUGCAUUCCUAACGUACCCUUCGGUAGGGGAUAGGUCAGGGAAACUUGGCGUAAUACCCUAUACGAUCUCCGGAUGAAAGACUUCGGUCGCCGGAGGAGCGGGGAAUGUCCUAUCAGGUUGUUGGUGAGGUAACGGCUCACCAAGCCGAAGACGGGUAGCGGGUGUGAGAGCAUGACCCGCCGCAUCGGGACUGAGACACUGCCCGGACUCCUACGGGAGGCUGCAGCGACGAAUAUUCCGCAAUGCGCGAAAGCGUGACGGAGCAAUGCCGCGUGCAGGAUGAAGCGGCUUCGCCGUGUAAACUGCUGUCAGGGUUUAGGAAGCAAGUGACCAGACCCAAAGGAAGGGCCGGCUAACUUCGUGCCAGCAGCCGCGGUAAGACGAAGGGCCCGAGCGUUAAUCAGAGUUACUGGGCUUAAAGGGUGCGUAGGCGGAUUCGUAAGUGCCUUGUGAAAUCCCACGACUCAACCGUGGAAUGGCUGGGCAAACUGCGAGUCUUGAGACUGGUAGGGGCCGUCGGAACGAUAGGUGGAGCGGUGAAAUGCGUAGAUAUCUAUCGGAACGCCGAAAGUGAAGACAGGCGGCUGGGCCAGAUCUGACGCUGAGGCACGAAAGCGUGGGGAGCAAACAGGAUUAGAUACCCUGGUAGUCCACGCUGUAAACGAUGCACACUAGGUCGGGGAGGUUUUGACGCCCUCCUGGCCGGAGCAAAAAGUAUUAAGUGUGCCGCCUGGGGAGUACGGUCGCAAGGCUAAAACUCAAGGGAAUUGACGGGAGCUCACACAAGCGGUGGAGCAUGUGGCUUAAUUCGAAGCAACGCGAAGAACCUUACCUGGGUUUGACAUGCACGGAUUAGUUCGGUGAAAGUCGAAUGACGCCCUUUGGGUGGAACGUGCACAGGUGCUGCAUGGCUGUCGUCAGCUCGUGCUGUGAAGUGUCGGGUUAAGUCCCUUAACGAGCGAAACCCCUGUCGCUAGUUGCCAGCGAGUCAUGUCGGGGACUCUAGCGAGACUGCCGGUGUCAAACCGGAGGAAGGUGGGGAUGACGUCAAGUCCUCAUGGCCCUUAUGUCCAGGGAUGCACACGUGCUACAAUGGCGUGAACAGAGCGACGCGAGACCGCGAGGUGGAGCAAAUCGCAAAAAACACGCCCCAGUUCAGAUUGCAGUCUGCAAUUCGACUGCAUGAAGUUGGAAUCGCUAGUAAUCGCGGAUCAGCUAUGCCGCGGUGAAUACGUUCCUGAGCUUUGUACACACCGCCCGUCAAGUCAUGGAAGUCGGGAGCGCCCGAAGUUGCCGCAACUCAGCGGUGCCGAAUGCGAGCUCGAUGACUGGGACUAAGUCGUAACAAGGUAACCGUA